AUUGACCGCUGGCUGCAGGCCUAACACAUGCAAGUCGAGCGGCCGGCGUACGGGUGAGUAAUGUAUGGGUCCUGCCCGAUAGAGUGGGAUAACUACUUGAAACGGUCGCUAAUUCCGCAUACUAUAUGAUAACCCAUAUGGGAUGAGCUAGUAGGUUAGGUCAUGGCUCAACUAGGCGACGAUCCCUAGCUGGUCUGAGAGGAGGAUCAGCCACACUGGGACUGAGAAACGGCCCAGACGCCUACGGAGCCAGCAGUGGGGAAUAUUGCACCAUGGGCGCAAGACGGAUGCAGCCAUGCGUCGUGGAGGAGGAAGGCCCUAGGGUUGGAAAGUACUUGCAGGCGGGAGGCGUUACCGACAGAAGAAGCACCGGCGAACUCCGUGCCAGCAGCCGCGGUAAUUC
RNAcentral lists this ribosomal RNA (403 nucleotides) under uncultured bacterium. RNAcentral's name for it is "partial 16S ribosomal RNA". It matches the Rfam family "Bacterial small subunit ribosomal RNA", at positions 30 to 526 of the family's 1533-position model. The record is from RNAcentral.